AGCAGCCGCGGUAAUUCCAGCUCCAAUAGCGUAUAUUAAAGUUGUUGCAGUUAAAAAGCUCGUAGUUGAAUUUCGGGGUCAGCAGGUUGGUCGUGCCACUGGUAUGUAUUGGCUUUGCUGAUUCCUCCUUCUUGUAGAACCGUAAUGCCAUUAAGUUGGUGUUGCGGGAAAACAGGACUGUUACUUUGAAAAAAUUAGAGUGUUUAAAGCAGGCUAACGCUUGAAUACAUUAGCAUGGAAUAAUGAAAUAGGACGACGAUCCUAUUUUGUUGGUUUCUAGGAUUGACGUAAUGAUUAAUAGGGAUAGUUGGGGGCAUUAGUAUUCAAUUGUCAGAGGUGAAAUUCUUGGAUUUAUUGAAGACUGACUACUGCGAAAGCAUUUGCCAAGGAUGUUUUCAUUAAUCAAGAACGAAAGUUAGGGGAUCGAAGACGAUCAGAUACCGUCGUAGUCUUAACCAUAAACUAUGCCGACUAGGGAUCGGAUGAUGUUAAUUUUAUAAUGACUCA
RNAcentral lists this ribosomal RNA (507 nucleotides) under uncultured organism. RNAcentral's name for it is "SSU rRNA". It matches the Rfam family "Eukaryotic small subunit ribosomal RNA", at positions 569 to 1078 of the family's 1831-position model. The record is from RNAcentral.